GACGAACGCUGGCGGCGUGCUUAACACAUGCAAGUCGAACGGAAAGGCCUGCUUUCCCUUGUGGAUUGCGGGUACUCGAGUGGCGAACGGGUGAGUAACACGUGAGUGAUCUGCCCCCAACUUGGGUAUAAGCCUGGGAAACUGGGUCUAAUUCCCGAUAGGACUGCAGGGUGGUGCCUGUGGUGGAAAACGAUUUGCUAGUGGUUGGGGAUGAGCUCGCGGCCUAUCAGCUUGUUGGUGGGGUAAUGGCCUACCAAGGCGGCGACGGGUAGCCGGCCUGAGAGGGUGGACGGCCACAUUGGGACUGAGAUACGGCCCAGACUCCUACGGGAGGCAGCAGUGGGGAAUAUUACACAAUGGGCGGAAGCCUGAUGCAGCGACGCCGCGUGGGGGAUGACGGCCUUCGGGUUGUAAACUCCUUUCGACCGCGAGGAAGCCACCUGGUUGGAAGGGUGGUGACGGUAGUGGUAGAAGAAGCACCGGCUAACUACGUG
RNAcentral lists this ribosomal RNA (494 nucleotides) under uncultured bacterium. RNAcentral's name for it is "partial 16S ribosomal RNA". It matches the Rfam family "Bacterial small subunit ribosomal RNA", at positions 28 to 507 of the family's 1533-position model. The record is from RNAcentral.